Pipra filicauda (Wire-tailed manakin) is the source of this 3537-nucleotide long non-coding RNA. RefSeq lists it as uncharacterized. Lineage: Eukaryota; Metazoa; Chordata; Aves; Passeriformes; Pipridae. The record is from RefSeq and is a predicted model, not a curated record. The transcript is spliced from 3 exons.
GUUCAGGGUUUUCACCUAUAACUGCAAGCUGAAUUUUGCAAUCUAGUUGCGUAUUUUGAAUUUCAUUUUCUUGUUGCUUGCUGACGAUUUGCUGUUUAUUGAUUAGUUGGUUUUAUGUUGAUUUACAGGUAACUCUUAAUGACACCCACAAAUGGUAACUUUUUAUGUCUCUUGACUGGCUGGAUAUUUUAGAAUUGGACUUCCCAGUUAAAUUCUCACUUUUAGGAAGACAAAUUAAUUUUCUAGUAUUCUAGCAAAUAUUUGUAAUUUUUUCCCCAUUACAGAAGUCGAUAGCUAAAUUAACCCAAGUUAUCUGUUCACAUAAGACCUGGUUGGAACUUUCUUCAUUCCAAAGUAAGGUGGUCUCCUGCCUAUGUUAACUUUUAGCUGAAGUAGGUUGGAUACAGUGUAGACAUAUUUUUUAUUUUGAGGAAUGGCUGUGCUAUAUACUCUGUGCUUUCUGUUCACGAACCAAGUAAAAAUGAAGUGAGUAGUAAUUUGCUGCUUAUCUUCUACUAUCAGGAGUAAAAUGAUUGGAUGUGUAGAGACUCUCAGUCCUUUCUUUACCUUGUCCUUGCACUGAAGCAUUUACACUAUGUGAAAAAGUAAAAUACGUUGUCUGACUCAUCUAGGUUACAAAGAAGCCUCAAAAUAGUACUACAGUUCUCUUGCUUUCAUCUUGCAUUCUUUUAACUAUUUUAAAUUCAGUACAAUGGAAAAAAAUCAGCAAAGGACUUAAGAGCACUUGGUGUGAAUAACUUAAUGCAGAUCUGAAAAACAAUCGAAGGUUAAAACUCAAUUGACUCUGACUGUGGUCCAUAUACAAACUAUUGAACUCAAGCUGAAUUCUCAUGCGAGUAUUAAAUUGCAGCACAGCCUUGAAUUGACCCUUUAGGAAGGAAACAAUGCAUAUAAUAGUGUGUUUGAUACCAAGAAGGCACUACAUAUAAGCAUGCAAGCAUUUGAACUUCAUGAAGGAAAAGAAAGCAGGAAAGAUAAAGGCAGUCAAAAAGGUGAAGAGUGCAUCUAAGAGAAGAGGAAAAAAAUCACACCACGUAUUGCCAUCUGAUUUAUCUAGAUGGAUGUCAUGCUGCCUGAGAGGAAGAUUCCAGGAUGCGUAAAAGCAUCUUUUUCUAAUAAAACAAAUAUAGGGUGAGUGUUACAGCCUUAAAAGUUUCCGAAUGGAAUCAUGUGUUGGGUCUCUGUAUCCUGUGGUCAUCAGCUACGAGCCACUACUCAUGUCGGGGUCUGACUACAUUGUACUGAUGCAAUCGGACUAUAGCACCAGGUGGGAGGAUCGGUUUUCACUGGAGAAAGAAGAAUGAACUACUCUAAUGCACCAGAACAGUGGAGGGCUGAGCACAACAAAUAAGUAGCUGUCCUUUGAAGAUUUUUUUUCUUCCAGUGAUUAAACUUCCUGCUCAAGUGCUCAUACUAUACUUAUAGUGAAAGCCACUAGCUUGAAACAAUUUUCUAAUUUACAUUGCUUCUUCCUUCCCCACCCUGCCACAGACACUCAAUUUCCAAUGCACUAUUUCAGAAAGGAAAACUUUUAACAGCAAGGCUUAUUUUAUUAUGGAGCUCUAUUAUGCUGUUUAAAAAAAAUCACUAAAACAUAUUCUGGAACAUUCUGUAAUGCUACAUUACUGUUACCUGAUGGUCUCUACUAAAUUUACUGUGACUUCACAUUAACAGUGAUCGCUAAACAUAUAAUUGGUGGAAAAGAAAAUUUUAAAAAAUUCCACGAUAUUGUCAAUUUGUAUUAAAUGCUAAAAGAAGCUUUAUAAAAGCAUUCUCUUGCACUAAUUUUUCAGUACCCUGAUCUAUGUUACAGCAAAAUAAUCCCCUGUGGUUACAGUACUGAGUGAAUACUGGAAAACUGUAUAUUGUUAACAUUAAUUUUAUCUGUUUUCACAUCUCAAUUUGAAAUGCAAGUGUAAAAUCUGAAGUUACAAAGUAAAUAUUUAAUGACUUUUUUUCAUACUGUAACACCCAGGUCUUGCUGGUAAAAUCAGAACUCUAUUUACAUUCUCAUUUAUUGAGAUUUUUCUGUACAAAAACUAUACUAAAAUACUAGCUUUAAUGGUAUAAAUUCAUGCAACUAAACUGGGAAACACACAAAAUAGAAUUCAUACUGGUGCUACCCUAUCUCCUUUUUUAAAAGUUAUAUGUUUUACAGUAGCUUUUCUGCUUCUGCAAAAGUUUGAAGGGCUCCCUAUUUUUCUUCAGAAUCUAGAUUGGCAGCUGCAAGUAUAAGAAAGUUCCUUCUGAAUAUUACUGUUGGUUGGUUGCAGCUGAGAAAAACACAACAAAAAGUGCACAUCCAUCAGCUGCAUGGUUCUGCAGUGUGGCAUUAAGCAAUGCCCCUUUGCCCUGAAAGCACAGGAAAAAGAAAAUGGUGGGGAAAGGUGCUUUAAAAUGCUUUAAAAAUACUGUUGCACAACUUCAGAGCUUCUUUUUGGUUCUUGUUUCCAUCAGAUAUAGAUCAGCUUGUCUGUAGAUUAGAAAAUGCUGCUGCUUUUCAUGAGGAGAAACCAUCAUUCUCCCAAGAUGUGAAGGACAAAUUGCAAUAUUCCAAAGUAUGAAUUUACUGUGAAUAUUUAUUUUCAAAUGAAUAACAUAAGUAAUCCAAACUGCCCUUACCAGUUUGAAAAAGGAAAAAAAGAUGCAGCUGAUGAGUUUGCGAGCACAUGGAGAAAACAGCAGGGCCCUUAUUGAGAACACGUGUGGGUACCGCAGGUGCCAGCAGUAGCAUGGCCAGUAGUGCCACUCCACAACUUGCUGCCCUGCUCAGGAACUGACCCCAGCUACAACACCCUCCCACAACACAACAAGGCAGCUGGGACCAGCUGGAUGAUGGAAGCCAGGGCAGAGAGACAGAAGAUAAUCCUGGCUUGUGGACAUGGAAUUGGCCUUUUGAAGUGUAGGAAGAAAUUCAGCAGAUGCUUCGAUGUGUGUGUCAAACACGUGCUGUGGUCAACAACAAUUGAAGAUGAAAAGUGUAAGGGAAUGUCAUAAUUUGGAAUUAAUUCUAAACAAACAAAAAAACCCCAAAACAAACAUGAAAACAUGAAACAAUUCCUUUCACAAACCUGUUUGUGAUCUUAAUGUAGCAGUAUCUGUUGUAAAAUUAAUACAGUGAGUGAAGAGAUUAAUUGCAUUGUAUUGAUUUCAAUUUCACUGACCUUUUAUGUCCUAAAUUUAAAAAAAAAAAACCAAAACCCUAAACUUUUGAAAUGUUCUCAACUUCUCAGUCUCUUCUCAUGUCUGUAAAUAAAUUUUAUUCUAUUUAUCUCCAAAACCAUUUUUCAUGAAUUAACAACAAACACCGAAGAGAUCUUAAAUUUAUUAGGUGCUUUUAUUGCAACUUCUAUAAGACAAAUAUGUACUCAGAAAAACUGGACCCAGUGUAUCAGACAGGUAAUUUUUUCAUAUUAAUACUUUUAAUAUAUUCAAUAUUUCUAUAAAUUCAGAUAUUUUUUUAGUAUGGAGUUUUAUAGAAGUGUAUCUGCUUGAAAUCACUAAGCAAUUUUUUAA